This 3606-nucleotide ribosomal RNA is filed under the name Acidobacteriota bacterium. RNAcentral's name for it is "23S ribosomal RNA". It matches the Rfam family "Bacterial large subunit ribosomal RNA". The record is from RNAcentral. Lineage: Bacteria; Pseudomonadati; Acidobacteriota.
GGUCAAGUAAGUAAGGGCAGACGGUGGAUGCCUUGGCGCCAGGAGGCGACGAAGGACGUGGGUAGCUGCGAAAAGCUUCGGGGAGCCGCUAACCAGGCUUUGAUCCGAAGAUUUCCGAAUGGGGAAACCCGGCCGGGGUCAUGCCCGGUCAUCCCGUACUGAAUCCAUAGGUACGGGAAGCGAACUCGGGGAACUGAAACAUCUCAGUACCCGAAGGAACGGAAAUCAACCGAGACUCCCUCAGUAGCGGCGAGCGAACGGGGAAUAGCCUAAACCGGUGGGAAGAAAUUCCUGCCGGGGUCGUGGGACUCCGACGUGGGACUCGAGCGGGUAGCCGAACGGUCUGGAAAGGCCGGCCGAAGAGGGUGAUAGCCCCGUACGCGAAACUCGAUCGAGCCCUAGGAGUAUCCCGAGUACCUCGGGGCACGUGAAACCCUGUGGGAAUCUGGGUGGACCAUCAUCCAAGGCUAAGUACUACCUGGCGACCGAUAGUGAACCAGUACCGUGAGGGAAAGGUGAAAAGAACCCCGGCGAGGGGAGUGAAAUAGACCUGAAACCGUUUGCCUACAUCCAGUAGGAGCCCUAUGGCGACACUUCGGUGUCGCAAAGGGUGACUGCGUACCUUUUGUUUAAUGGGUCCGCGAGUUACUCCUCAGCAGCAAGGUUAAGCCGACAGGUGUAGCCGAAGCGAAAGCGAGUCUGAACAGGGCGUAUAGUUGCUGGGGGUAGACCCGAAACCGGGUGAUCUAUCCAUGGCCAGGGUGAAGCUCGGGUAAGACCGAGUGGAGGCCCGAACCGUAGAAGGUUGAAAACUUCCCGGAUGAGCUGUGGAUAGGGGUGAAAGGCCAAUCAAACCCGGAGAUAGCUGGUUCUCCCCGAAAUAUAUUGAGGUAUAGCCUCGCGUGAUCACUACCGGGGGUAGAGCACUGGAUGGGCUAGGGGUCCUACCAGAUUACCGAACCCAACCAAACUUCGAAUACCGGUAAGUGCAGCGCGGGAGUCAGACUACGGGCGAUAAGGUUCGUGGUCGAAAGGGAAACAGCCCAGAUCGUCGGCUAAGGUCCCAAAAUCCAUGCUAAGUGGGAAAGGAUGUGGGAGCGCUCAGACAGCCAGGAGGUUGGCUUAGAAGCAGCCAUCCUUUAAAAAGUGCGUAAUAGCUUACUGGUCUAGUGAGCCCGCGCCGAAAAUGUAACGGGGCUCAAGCAUGGUACCGAAGCCACGGGCUCAUGACGCCUUCGGGUGUCGUGAGCGGUAGGGGAGCGUUCCAGUCGCCUUUGAAGCUCGACGGAAACGACGGGUGGAGGUCCUGGAAGUGCUUAUGCGGACAUGAGUAGCGAUAAAGGCGGUGAGAAACCGCCUCGCCGUAAGCCUAAGGGUUCCUGAGUAAAGCUAAUCUGCUCAGGGUUAGUCGGCCCCUAAGCCGAGGGCGAAAGCCGUAGGUGAUGGGAAACGGGUUAAUAUUCCCGUACCACUAGAUGAACGUUCGACCGAAGGGGGGACGGAGAAGGGUAGCCGGGCCGGGUGCUGGACAUCCCGGUUCAAGCCUGUAGGCGGGUGGCGUAGGCAAAUCCGCGCCGCCAUUCAACGCCGAGAGGUGAUGCCGAGAGCCGUAAGGCUCACAAAGUCGGUGAUCCCAUGCUUCCAAGAAAAGCCUCGUAGGGAGUUUAUCUGGUGACCGUACCGCAAACCGACACAGGUAGGCGGGCAGAGCAUGCCAAGGCGCUUGAGAGAACUCUGGUUAAGGAACUCGGCAAAUUGACACCGUAACUUCGGGAGAAGGUGUGCCCUCGCCGGUGACGGAACUUGCUUCCCGAGCCGGUUGGGGUUGCAGAGAGCAGGGGGUAGCGACUGUUUACUAAAAACACAGGACUCUGCGAACUCGUCAGAGGACGUAUAGGGUCUGACGCCUGCCCGGUGCCGGAAGGUCAAGGGGAUCUGUUAGCUUCUUCGGAGGCGAAGCGGUGAACCGAAGCCCCGGUAAACGGCGGCCGUAACUAUAACGGUCCUAAGGUGAACACGUCGCCUUAGUAAAACCGAACCAUAUGCGGGGACCUCCUCCACAGCCGUACGGUACUCGUCGGUGAACUACCGGCAGUAACAAUCUGACGGACAUGGGGACAAUCCGCAGGGAAGGCCCAGCUGCGCUGGGAACCCUCAGAGACUUGAUGUUCGGGGCUGUUUGAUGGAUCUCGAAGCUCAAUGGAUCGUCGGCUUCGUGGACGGUGAAGGCUGCUUUCACGUCGGGAUCAAUCCGCAUCCCGAGAUGAAGACGGGCUAUCAGGUUCUUCCUGAGUUCACCGUCGUGCAGCACGAGCGUGAUGUGCAGGUCCUGCACGCGCUGAAGGCCUACUUCGGCUGCGGCGUGGUUCGAAGGAACCACGGCGACCGGAUGGCCUACCGCGUACGCGGGAAGGAGCACCUGCUCCAGCGCAUCAUUCCAUUCUUCGAGAAACACCCGCUCAAGACCAGAAAGCGAGUGGACUUCGCCAAGUUUCGGCGAAUCCUCUUGCUCAUGGAGGCGGGGGAGCAUCUGACCCGCGAAGGCGUCGAGGAAGCUCGCCGCAUCGCCGGCCAGAUGAACCGAGGACAGUCAAGGUAAAGUCCGGCCCUUCCGGAAACGGUUGGGAGCAACCGAGCGAAAUUCCUUGUCGGGUAAGUUCCGACCUGCACGAAUGGCGUAACGACUUCCCCACUGUCUCAACCAGGGACUCAGCGAAAUUGAAUUGCCGGUGAAGAUGCCGGCGACCCGCAGCAGGACGGAAAGACCCCGUGCACCUUUACUACAGCUUCGCAGUGAUCGUCGGUUCAGGAUGUGUAGGAUAGGUGGGAGGCUUUGAAGCCGGGACGUCAGUCUCGGUGGAGCCAACCUUGAAAUACCACCCUUUUUGCGCUGCCGAUCUAACCUGGGUCCGUCAUCCGGAUCGGGAACACUGCGUGGUGGGUAGUUUGACUGGGGCGGUCGCCUCCCAAAGAGUAACGGAGGCGCGCAAAGGUUCCCUCAGGCUGAUUGGAAACCAGCCGUAGAGUGCAAAGGCAUAAGGGAGCUUGACUGCGAGACCUACAAGUCGAGCAGGUGGGAAACCAGGUCUUAGUGAUCCGGUGGCUCCGCAUGGAAGGGCCAUCGCUCAUCGGAUAAAAGGUACGCCGGGGAUAACAGGCUGAUCUCCCCCAAGAGUUCACAUCGACGGGGAGGUUUGGCACCUCGAUGUCGGCUCGUCACAUCCUGGGGGUGAAGCAGCUCCCAAGGGUUCGGCUGUUCGCCGAUUAAAGUGGCACGCGAGCUGGGUUUAGAACGUCGUGAGACAGUUCGGUCCCUAUCCGCCGUGGGCGCAGGAGAUUUGAGGGGAUCUGUCCCUAGUACGAGAGGACCGGGAUGGACGAACCCAUGGUGUGCCGGUUGUCGCGCCAGCGGCACUGCCGGGUAGCUAAGUCCGGAUGGGAUAACCGCUGAAAGCAUCUAAGUGGGAAGCCCACCCCAAGAUGAGAUCUCCCCGAGACUUCGGUCUCCUGAAGGGCCGUCCGAGACGAGGACGUCGAUAGGCCGGAGGUGGAAGCGCAGCAAUGCGCGGAGCUGACCGGUACUAAUCGCCCGUGAGGCUUGACCAC